CACGUAGGGGGCGAGCGUUGUCCGGAUUUAUUGGGCGUAAAGAGCUCGUAGGCGGUUCGCUAAGUCGGGUGUGAAACCUCCAGGCUCAACCUGGAGACGCCACCUGAUACUGGUGUGACUAGAGUCCGGUAGGGGAGUGUGGAACUCCUGGUGUAGCGGUGAAAUGCGCAGAUAUCAGGAAGAACACCAGCGGCGAAGGCGGCACUCUGGGCCGGUAUUGACGCUGAGGUGCGAAAGCGUGGGGAGCAAACAGG
Molecule: ribosomal RNA, 254 nt
Filed under: uncultured bacterium
Lineage: Bacteria
Description: partial 16S ribosomal RNA
Rfam family: Bacterial small subunit ribosomal RNA
Source: RNAcentral